GAUGAACGCUGGCGGCGUGCCUAAUACAUGCAAGUCGAGCGAACGGACGAGAAGCUUGCUUCUCUGAUGUUAGCGGCGGACGGGUGAGUAACACGUGGAUAACCUACCUAUAAGACUGGGAUAACUUCGGGAAACCGGAGCUAAUACCGGAUAAUAUUUUGAACCGCAUGGUUCAAAAGUGAAAGACGGUCUUGCUGUCACUUAUAGAUGGAUCCGCGCUGCAUUAGCUAGUUGGUAAGGUAACGGCUUACCAAGGCAACGAUGCAUAGCCGACCUGAGAGGGUGAUGGGCCACACUGGAACUGAGACACGGUCCAGACUCCUACGGGAGGCAGCAGUAGGGAAUCUUCAGCAAUGGGCGAAAGCCUGACGGAGCAACGCCGCGUGAGUGAUGAAGGUCUUCGGAUCGUAAAACUCUGUUAUUAGGGAAGAACAUAUGUGUAAGUAACUGUGCACAUCUUGGCGGUACCUAAUCAGAAAGCCACGGCUAACUACGUG
RNAcentral lists this ribosomal RNA (497 nucleotides) under uncultured bacterium. RNAcentral describes it as "partial 16S ribosomal RNA". It matches the Rfam family "Bacterial small subunit ribosomal RNA", at positions 28 to 507 of the family's 1533-position model. The record is from RNAcentral.